RNA transcript from Argentina anserina (silverweed cinquefoil), 3471 nucleotides. It is a transcript of the gene named coatomer subunit beta'-2-like, with no coding region annotated. The transcript is spliced from 26 exons. NCBI's taxonomy places the organism in Eukaryota, Viridiplantae, Streptophyta, Magnoliopsida, Rosales, Rosaceae. The record is from RefSeq and is a predicted model, not a curated record.
CUCUGCCUCUCUCCUUGUACAAAGAAAGAGCACCAAAAUCUCUCUCCCUCCUUCUCAUUCUCUCUUUUCUCUCUGAGCUAGGAUCACCUGGAUCGCUAGGGCUCUUCUUCGUCUUCACUGUGAUUUCCGCCGGAGCUCUGCGAAAAUGCCUCUCCGACUGGAAAUCAAGAGGAAACUUGCUCAAAGAUCAGAGAGGGUAAAAUCUGUGGAUCUGCAUCCGACGGAACCAUGGAUAUUGGCGAGUCUAUAUUCGGGGACAGUGUGUAUUUGGAACUACCAGACUCAGACCAUGGCUAAGUCAUUUGAGGUCACAGAGUUACCAGUUAGGUCAGCCAAAUUUAUAUCACGCAAGCAAUGGGUUGUUGCUGGAGCUGACGAUAUGUGUAUCCGUGUCUACAACUACAACACAAUGGAUAAGGUCAAAGUAUUUGAGGCCCAUACUGACUACAUCAGAUGUGUAGCUGUUCAUCCUACACUCCCUUAUGUGCUAUCAUCAUCUGAUGAUAUGCUCAUCAAGCUAUGGGAUUGGGACAAGGGUUGGAUUUGUACUCAGAUAUUUGAAGGACAUUCACAUUAUGUGAUGCAAGUGACAUUUAAUCCAAAAGACACCAACACCUUUGCAAGUGCAUCUCUUGAUCGCACCAUAAAGAUAUGGAAUCUAGGCUCCCCUGACCCAAAUUUUACACUGGAUGCGCACCAGAAAGGUGUAAAUUGUGUUGAUUACUUUACGGGUGGUGAUAAACCUUAUCUAAUUACUGGUUCCGAUGAUCAUACUGCUAAGGUGUGGGACUAUCAAACAAAAGGUUGUGUCCAGACACUUGAAGGCCAUACACACAAUGUUUCUGCUGUUUGUUUUCAUCCCGAACUCCCUAUAAUAAUAACGGGAUCAGAAGAUGGAACAGUACGAAUAUGGCAUUCCACCACUUAUAGGCUUGAGAACACAUUGAAUUAUGGCCUUGAAAGAGUUUGGGCUAUUGGAUACAUGAAGGGCUCAAGACGGGUUGUGAUUGGUUAUGAUGAAGGAACAAUAAUGGUGAAACUUGGACGUGAAGUACCGGUGGCUAGUAUGGACUAUAGUGGAAAGAUCAUUUGGGCCAAGCACAACGAAAUCCAAACUGUGAACAUUAAGAGUGUGGGCGCUGAUUAUGAGGUUACUGAUGGAGAAAGAUUGCCUUUGGCCGUCAAGGAGUUGGGUACAUGCGACCUUUACCCCCAAAGUUUAAAGCACAAUCCCAAUGGGAGGUUUGUUGUAGUUUGUGGAGAUGGCGAGUACAUUAUAUAUACUGCUUUGGCCUGGAGAAAUCGGUCGUUUGGUUCUGCUUUGGAAUUUGCUUGGUCAACUGAUGGAGAGUAUGCUAUUCGAGAGAGUACUUCAAAGAUUAAAAUUUUCACUAAAAACUUCCAGGAGAAAAGGAGCAUUCGACCAACGUUUUCUGCUGAACACAUAUAUGGGGGAACAUUAUUGGCAAUGUGCUCAAAUGAUUUUAUUUGCUUUUAUGAUUGGGCUGAGUGCAGAUUGAUUCGGAGAAUCGAUGUGAAUGUGAAAAAUCUCUAUUGGGCUGAUAGUGGCGAUUUAGUUGCUAUUGCUAGUGACGCAUCAUUCUACAUCCUGAAGUACAACCGAGAUGUAGUCUCUUCUUAUUUGGAUAGUGGAAGACCUGUAGAUGAACAAGGUGUGGAAGAUGCAUUUGAGCUUCUCCAUGAAAUGAAUGAACGGGUCAGGACUGGUAUAUGGGUUGGGGAUUGCUUCAUUUAUAACAACUCAUCCUGGAGGCUGAAUUACUGUGUUGGUGGAGAGGUAACUACAAUGUUCCAUUUGGACCGGCCAAUGUACUUGUUGGGUUAUCUUGCCAAUCAAAGUAGGGUGUUUCUGAUAGACAAAGAGUUCAAUGUGAUGGGGUACACACUACUUUUGAGUUUAAUUGAGUACAAGACACUUGUGAUGCGUGGAGACUUCGAAAGGGCCAAUGCAGUUUUACCUUCAAUUCCUAAAGACCAUCAUAACAGUGUGGCUCGUUUCCUGGAAUCACGAGGUAUGAUAGAGGAUGCACUUGAAGUGGCCACAGAUCCUGAUUACAGAUUUGAGCUAGCCAUUCAGCUCGGUAGAUUAGAAAUUGCAAAGGAAAUUGCCAGUGAGGUGCAGAUUGAAUCUAAAUGGAAACAGUUAGGUGAACUUGCAAUGUCUACUGGAAAUUUGGAAAUGGCUGAGCAAUGUUUGAAGCAUGCCAUGGACCUGAGUGGUUUAUUAUUGCUAUAUUCAUCUCUUGGAGAUGCUGAAGGAAUCUCAGAACUUGCGUCCCUUGCAAAAGAACAAGGGAAGAACAAUGUUGCAUUCCUUUGUUUAUUCAUGUUGGGUCGAUUGGAAGAGUGCCUGGAGCUGUUGGUUGCAAGCAAUCGGAUACCUGAAGCUGCUUUAAUGGCUCGAUCGUAUCUUCCAAGCAAGGUUGAAGAAAUAGUAGCUAUUUGGAGAAAAGAUCUCUGCAAGGUUAAUUCAAAAGCUGCCGAGUCUUUGGCUAAUCCAGAACAGUAUCCUAAUUUGUUUGAGGAUUGGCAAGUUGCUCUUUCGGUUGAAUCUAAAGCAGCAGAGACAAGGGGUGUAUAUCCUCCUGCAGUGGAGUAUGUGAAACAUGUUGAUAAAACACAUAUGACCCUUGUGGAGGCUUUCAGGAGCUUGCAAGUGGAUGAAGAGAGCUUGCAAAUGGAUGAAGAGGAGCCUCGUGAAAAUGGAGACUCAAAUCAUGAGGUAUCUGAACUGAAUGGGGAACAGACUGUAGAGAACCAUGCAGAUGAACAGUACGAGGAAGGGAGCCAGGAGGAGGCUGUCGUGCUGGAUGCCGAGUCUACGGAUGGUGCUGUACUCGUUAAUGGUAGUGAAGCUGAAGAAGACUGGGGUACGAAAAAUGAAGGAACCUCGACAGCCUAAAAAGCUAUGGGUUGGGCCAGUGUGAAAAUCCAAUUUUGUCUCUGUGCUUACACCACGUCAUUAGGUCCCUGUAAAGACUGCUGGUCCAGCUGUAUGGAUCCUUUAUCAAAGGUCUUCUGCAAGAGGCUGACAAAGAGGUGAUGUAAUGGAUCGGUUGUCUCUGUUAUCCAGUGGUGUGGCAUGUAACCAUAUUGUAGUUUGUGAUGGGGCACAACAAAGUUAGUUCCAUAGUUUUAGUUAGUUUUGCUCAUUGCGUUACAGAUUAACGUAUUCUUUGAGGCCUUGUUGUCAUAUUUUGGUGUCAUUGUGAAUGUAGAGUCAGCUAGUAACAAGGUCGAUGUUUACCAUUCAAAAUUUAGAAUUUUGGUCCCCUGGGCAUUUUAUGUUUUGGGAGUUCUCUUAUGCGGCUCAUUGUAAACGUGUACGUGUUUACAAUAUAUACAUUUUGAGUAUGAUACAGCAACUAUCGCACUUGGCUUGUGUUGGCACCAUGCUUGUUCAGAUAGGACUGAUCAUACUCCUUUCAUCGGUCUAGACUGAUGAUUUGA